This 102-nucleotide transfer RNA is filed under the name Coprinellus micaceus. RNAcentral describes it as "tRNA-Gly". It matches the Rfam family "tRNA". Rfam says of the family: Transfer RNA (tRNA) molecules are approximately 80 nucleotides in length. Lineage: Eukaryota; Fungi; Basidiomycota; Agaricomycetes; Agaricales; Psathyrellaceae. The record is from RNAcentral.
CAAUCAAUGGGGUAGUGGUAACCUGGGUCGUUGCCAUUGACGUGCUCCUCGAGGUACCUCGAAUACCUCGACCCGCCGGGGGUUCGAUUCUCUCUUGGUGGA